UACGUAGGGUGCAAGCGUUGUCCGGAAUUAUUGGGCGUAAAGAGCUCGUAGGCGGUCUGUCGCGUCGGAUGUGAAAAUCCAGGGCUCAACCCUGGACCUGCAUUCGAUACGGGCAGACUAGAGUUCGGUAGGGGAGACUGGAAUUCCUGGUGUAGCGGUGAAAUGCGCAGAUAUCAGGAGGAACACCGGUGGCGAAGGCGGGUCUCUGGGCCGAAACUGACGCUGGGGAGCGAAAGCGUGGGGAGCAAACAGG
RNAcentral lists this ribosomal RNA (253 nucleotides) under uncultured bacterium. RNAcentral's name for it is "partial 16S ribosomal RNA". It matches the Rfam family "Bacterial small subunit ribosomal RNA", at positions 524 to 776 of the family's 1533-position model. The record is from RNAcentral.